ACCUCGGUGGUCCAGUGACAGAACGCGUCCUCGGUAUGGGUGAGACGCGGGUUCAACUCUCGCCUAAGGUU
Non-coding RNA from Parelaphostrongylus tenuis, 71 nucleotides. NCBI's taxonomy places the organism in Eukaryota, Metazoa, Nematoda, Chromadorea, Rhabditida, Metastrongylidae. The record is from the annotation of a GenBank genome assembly.